GACGGAGGGUGCAAGCGUUGUUCGGAAUCACUGGGCGUAAAGCGCGUGUAGGCGGUUGAAUAAGUCGGAUGUGAAAGCCCGGAGCUCAACUCCGGAAGUGCAUUCGAAACUGUUCGGCUCGAGUACGGGAGAGGGAAGUGGAAUUCCUGGUGUAGAGGUGAAAUUCGCAGAUAUCAGGAGGAACACCGGUGGCGAAGGCGGCUUCCUGGACCGAUACUGACGCUGAGACGCGAAAGCCAGGGGAGCGAACGGG
RNAcentral lists this ribosomal RNA (253 nucleotides) under uncultured bacterium. RNAcentral describes it as "partial 16S ribosomal RNA". It matches the Rfam family "Bacterial small subunit ribosomal RNA", at positions 524 to 776 of the family's 1533-position model. The record is from RNAcentral.